AAUGAACGCUGGCGGCAUGCCUAACACAUGCAAGUCGAACGAAAGCGCGGGCCUCGGCCUCGCGCGGGGUGGCGAACGGGUGGGUAAUACAUCGGAACGUGCCCUGUAGUCGGGGAUAGGAUGGCAAAAGCGCAAAUAAUCUCGCAGAGGACCAUAUGGUGGAAGCGGGUGAGCGAAAGUCCUCGCGGCUUUUGAGCGGGCUAAUGCGUAUCAACGAGUUGGUUCGGUAAAUGGUUACCGAGGCGGACAACCGAAGCUGGGCUGAGAGGACGACCAGACACACUGGGAGUGAGGAACGGCCCAGACUCCUACGGGAGGCAGCAGUGGGGAAUCUUGGACAAUGGGGGCAAGCCUGAUCUAGCAAUGCCGCGUGAGGGAAGAAGGCCUUCGGGUUGUAAAGCGCUUUUGUUCGGGAAGAAGUAAUGUGCGUUAAUCCACCGGGGGGAUGACGGUACCGGAAGAAUAAGCCCCGGCUAACUACGUG
RNAcentral lists this ribosomal RNA (484 nucleotides) under uncultured bacterium. Its description in RNAcentral is "partial 16S ribosomal RNA". It matches the Rfam family "Bacterial small subunit ribosomal RNA", at positions 29 to 507 of the family's 1533-position model. The record is from RNAcentral.